Long non-coding RNA from Poecile atricapillus (Black-capped chickadee), 4631 nucleotides. RefSeq lists it as uncharacterized. The record is from RefSeq and is a predicted model, not a curated record. The transcript is spliced from 4 exons. NCBI's taxonomy places the organism in Eukaryota, Metazoa, Chordata, Aves, Passeriformes, Paridae.
CCGACCACUGACCAAACUCCACUUCAAGCAGUCCCGAGGACUGCUCUUCCCCUUGCCCAUGGACCUGUCUGCUCAGUCCCUGGAUCUCCCAGGAUCAUGCCGAAAAUUUUGCACUGGAACACAGCACUGGUACUUGCACAAAGUGGAUCUGGCACUUAAUGUCAGCAGCUUCCUUUCUGGGAAGAACCUCGGGAAUAACCAGGAGUGUGCGGAGUGCCUGAAUAACCUGCCAUGUCCCCAAAGUCCUCAAUCACUAGAGCACAGCAAGGGGUGAGUGAGAACCAGACAACACUCAGGAGCUCCAGGUCCACAGCAGCUGCACACCCACCACACACCCUCCUGUGUGACACAACCCUCCUGUCCACUGCCAGAGAAACAAAAACACAGCAGAAGGCAAGGUACAGGAACAUGGGAGCCUUCUACAUGAAAGGUUUGUUGCAUGGGGGACAGCAAAGGCAGAAGAUCACACGUCCCUACAGUUCCAGAAAGCCAUGGCCAGACACUGUAGGGCCAAAUACCUGGCUCCCAGCUAACAAACAUGGGAAACUGCUAAUCAGCCUGAGUCACAGCACCCACCAUGCUGCCCAUGUUGGGGCAUCUCUCUCUUGAGCCCCAGAACUAACCUGGAGCCAUCACCACCCACAAACCUGGCUGAAGCUUGGACAGGAGCCAUUCCUGGGAGUAAUUGCUUCUGGGACCCAGCUUUGCUCAGAGGCCCCGGUGUCUCUGCCCAGGACAGGAGGGCAGACCCCUCAGCCCCGGGUUCACCAUACAACCCCUACCUUCAAACUCGCCUUCCGUGAAAAUUCUGCAACAUUUGCCAUUUCCACAUACAUUUCUGCCAGGAACCUUGUUUGCUUGAAUAUUUGAGGAAAGCAAACAGAGAAGGAGCCUGAACACAAACAGUCAUGGAUGUUUUUUUGCAGUCUUUGCCCUGUUCUAACCCCAAGCCUGCCGGCAGGCAUCCCCUGAUGUACCCCUUGGCUCUGCCCUGUCCCCCACUGCUGGCCCUGCUCCUGCUGCAAAUACUGCUGUAUGUAAAAGAAACUCACCCAGCCCUUGCUGUCUGUGGGACCACCAUCACUCACACCCCUUUGCACUCAUGUUAAGUAAACAUUGUUUAAUGCCAUUUAAGAAAUGUCAGCAGAUGACUAACAGAGUACGACUGGCAGACCUACACCUGCCCUGCUGAGCUCAGAACAUCUCUCAGACACUCCUCAAGCCUUCCUGAGCCUCUUGCUGCUCACCUUCCAGAGCUGGAGCUCAUUUCCUGCUGACAGCAGCCCUCUGGGCUCACUCUCUCUAUAAAAAUACCAUUGUGUUUCAAGCUAAGCCCGAGUUGAGGGUGUGCUGCUGGCCCCAUAAAUGGCUGGAAUGAGGUGGGAGAAGUCACAGCCCUGUGGGUAAGUGCAGACACCCUGUGACACUGAGCAGCAUCCCCAGCUCUUCCCCAAGGGAACCUUCACCAAGCACCAGAAAACAGCUCUUGGGAGCAGACCAAGGUGCUAACACAGUGAUUGUCCCUUUUGCAUCCCAGCAAAUACCUGUGUUUAUUCCUGGCUGCACCAAUACUCUGCUCAGGCACUGGAACGUGCUGACCUUGCCAGCACCAGUGUUACAGCCACCCCAACAUCCAGCAGGGAUGGCCAGAGUGGGAACAAGGAGGGGGGAUGUGCCAGGUGUCCUAAGAGCCAUUAGUCCCUGAUGGCUGCUAGGCCAUGGACACAGAGAGCAAGGAGUAAACAGAGGAGUUAAAGAGCAGCUGACGUGAGUAGUCAAGGAGGAAAAGUUCAGUUGAGGUCAUAUCUAGAGGAAACCUGUAAAAAACUUGAUGUAUUUGUCAGUGAAAAUUAAAAAUACUCAGGAAAUCGGCCCCCUCUUCUGUUUCUCAGUUGAAACUGUUCCCCACAUCUGACCAGAGCUCCUGAGCAGCAAUGACGUCUUGCAUUUUUCAGCUGUUUUCCAAAGCUGCUUUACUGCUCAGGGCCGGCCCUGAUCAUGCGCUGGUCCCUGCUGUAACCACCAGCCCUGGGGAUCCCCAGCUCUGAGAAGAUCCAAAACAUGAAGGAGUGGUGCUGCCUGCACUGGGAUUGAGACCAAUUGCCCAAAUUGUGCCCAAGUCUCAGUGGGAGGACAAAGGUGGGUCAAGGGGCCCGUCCCUUCCUUGCUGCCCAGAAGAUGUUCCCCUUGCCCCCUCUCCAUCCUCCACCUUCUCACACACCUAUUAGCAGCUUCCUGCAGGGAUUUAGCACCAGUGGAGCCCUUUCCAGCUCACAGCCCGUCCUCAGGUUCUGGUGAGGAUUUUGAAUGUGCCUCCAGCUCCACAUCUCUCCAAAGCUGCUGCAUCAGUCCCUUGUCCCUCAAGGACCCACCCAGGGUGCUGGGGACAGGCCAGCUUUGUCACUGCCUGGCAGGGCAUCCUCCAAGUCCUUUACACAAGGCACAGGUCUGAUGGGAGGGAGAUAAGUGUCCCUAGGGUGUCGUUAAGGGGAAAUGCUGGUGAUAGUCUGGAGCAGGGAUGGAUGGGGAGGGUUGCAGUAACUGCAGUGGGGGGAAUGCUCCUACUGAUGCCACCACUGCCAAGAGAGGGCCAGACCUGCUCGCUGUCCCGAGGCUGAAUGCCAGUGCCAAGCUUCCCCAAGAGAAUAUAUCCCUGGCUUCAGAUGGAUGCUGAAAUCCUGAAGCUCCUAAGACAGAUGGGGAGAAGGGAAAAUCAGAAAAAUCUUUCCAUCUUCCAAAAGAAACUGAAAAUAACUCUGUGACCCUCUCCAAGGCUGAAGGCUCCUCUGGAGGACCCUGGUGUGCCCCCAUCAGGCAUGCCAGCUCCAUGGCCUGUCCUGCUGAGGGCUGGGAGCUGCUGGCUGCAAGGGCAUCACCCCAGCAUCAUGGCUGGGGCUCAGCACCACCACUGCUGUGUGAGCUCCCACGCUGCUUUCAAAGGGAGUAAACUUCCCCCUUGGGAAGGGUUUGGCAACCACCUUGCCAUCUGCAGGAUGCCCCCUCUGCUGCCCAGCCCCAACCCAACCCUACAGAGCUGCUGGGGAAGCCAGGCACUGCCCAGUCCCCCAUCCCACCAACCCUUCCUCACCUCUAUUUGGAUAACUUUUUCACCCGAUUUAUUUAUGAGGACUCCCCUCCUUCUGCCAACACUCUGAGUUUCCUCUCACUUUAGUCUGGGAGGCCCAUCUCACUCUUUUAUUCUUAUUAUUUCUCUCUCCCCCUUGCCUGGCCCCAGGCUUGCAGCGGGUGCCGGCCAGAGCCUGCUUUUGUUCAGCCACAGGAGCAGAUGGGGAGAGCGGCCACAGGUGGGAUGGGCAGUGAUUCCUCCCCAUCCACCCCACAGCACCUGGCUCUGCCUGCACUUGCCCAGGCUCAGCACGUGGCUCACUUACUGACUCUCAGACUGAAAAGUUAAAACCAAAUUUAAAAAUCACAAUUAAUAAAAAUCAUUUUUAAAAAAUUCAGGAGAAAAUUACUGUCAGAAAAGUUUACUUGCCUGUGUUUAAUGUCACUGAUGUGCCAGGGCCAGCAAGUGGCUGCUCACAUUAGAGCCAGCUGCAAGUGGGCAGAAUAACUUCAUCCUAAGUGAUAAAAGAGCUUGUUCAGCUCCUCAUGUGUCAGGCAAAGCUGGUUGCUCACUGCAGAAAUGAAGUUGGCUUUGCACCCUGGGGCAAAGCUGGAUGCAGGCAUCCUGGAUGUGGGCACAGCCAGACCUGGCCACCCUGCACCACCAGGCUGAUGGGAACAUCCCUUGACCCUCCCCUUCUCCUGCAAAUGAGGUGCAAGUCAGUCUGUGAGCUGGCUGGGUCAGGAGCUGUCUCCCACCAGCAGCAGGGGCUUCAUCCAGGAGGAUGCUCAGCACUGGCUCCUCCGGGGCCAGUUCUCACCCCAGCAUCUGACCCUCUGCACAUCUCAGAGGUAUCAGUCCUUCGUUUCACCAGCUCACACGUGUCCUUCACCACAGGCCCCUUGCACUUUGUCCAAGCAGCACCAGCUGGACACAAAGACAUAGCCUGCACUAAACAGACCAAAACCUGGACAGUGUUUUCUGGGCAUUUUCCUGCUGCUGGCUCCUGCAGCUCAGAGGCAGGAGGGAACAGAGCUCCUCCAGAGACCUGGCUCCUGCGGGCUGGGGAUGCACAAAUGAGCAACCUGAUAAAAGCAGCCUAAAACAGCAUUCCAUAACUGCUUGAUCACAACUGCCUGCUCCAGCCUAGGCCAGUGACACUGCAGCUGAUCCUAUACAACUCCUACACGUUUCCAUUGCCCUAGGCCAUGGACCCACUGAAAUGCUGAUAUGCCCUGUGCCUGACCAUGGCUCACCAUGGGGUGAUGUGACCUGAAAUGAUCUGCAGGGUACUAAAGUGCUGGGGGCUGGGCAAGGAGGCACAAGGCAGCAUGCCACAACAGAGGUGGGCUGGGGCUGGAGGUGACACCCGUGGGAGGCUGCAGGCCUGGAUCAAGGGAAGCAACCAUCCAAAGAGAGGCCAUGAGCAAAGUGCAAAAAGGUGUCCUGGGAGUCCCAGAAGCCCUCCUGGGUCCUGGGUUUGCACACACAGUAUCUGGGAGGUGGGCUGGGCAGGGGCUGCACACUUGUAAAAGAGAAGAGGAACAGGACAUGAAAAACAGAG